AUCCAGAUGAUGAGUCUCAAAUAGGACGAAACACUUGUUUUAGAU
This 45-nucleotide non-coding RNA is filed under the name Schistosoma haematobium. Lineage: Eukaryota; Metazoa; Platyhelminthes; Trematoda; Strigeidida; Schistosomatidae. The record is from RNAcentral.